GAUGAACGCUGGCGGCGUGCCUAAUACAUGCAAGUCGAGCGAACGGACGAGAAGCUUGCUUCUCUGAUGUUAGCGGCGGACGGGUGAGUAACACGUGGAUAACCUACCUAUAAGACUGGGAUAACUUCGGGAAACCGUAGCUAAUACCGGAUAAUAUUUUGAACCGCAUGGUUCAAAAGUGAAAGACGGUCUUGCUGUCACUUAUAGAUGGAUCCGCGCUGCAUUAGCUAGUUGGUAAGGUAACGGCUUACCAAGGCAACGAUGCAUAGCCGACCUGAGAGGGUGAUCGGCCACACUGGAACUGAGACACGGUCCAGACUCCUACGGGAGGCAGCAGUAGGGAAUCUUCCGCAAUGGGCGAAAGCCUGACGGAGCAACGCCGCGUGAGUGAUGAAGGUCUUCGGAUCGUAAAACUCUGUUAUUCGGGAAGAACAUAUGUGUAAGUAACUGUGCACAUCUUGACGGUACCUAAUCAGAAAGCCACGGCUAACUACGUG
RNAcentral lists this ribosomal RNA (497 nucleotides) under uncultured bacterium. RNAcentral's name for it is "partial 16S ribosomal RNA". It matches the Rfam family "Bacterial small subunit ribosomal RNA", at positions 28 to 507 of the family's 1533-position model. The record is from RNAcentral.